RNAcentral lists this unclassified non-coding RNA (201 nucleotides) under Hevea brasiliensis (rubber tree). The record is from RNAcentral. Lineage: Eukaryota; Viridiplantae; Streptophyta; Magnoliopsida; Malpighiales; Euphorbiaceae.
CUCAAGUGUGGAGAUAAUUGGCGGCCAUCAUCAACUCCAACGUCAUCUCGGGUUCGAUAUAGAACUCCGUCUCCUUUCCACUGGCGAAUUGCAACGACCAGUAGAAAUACUGGCAGAUCUUCUCCAGCACGGGGGUGCUGAUCUCCGGAAACGUCACCUCGCCGUGUUGCGCCUCCGAGAAUCCACCUGGUGAUGUCAGCA